GACGAACGCUGGCGGCGUGCUUAACACAUGCAAGUCGAGCGGUAAGGCCCUUUCGGGGGUACACGAGCGGCAAACGGGUGAGUAACACGUGGGUGACCUGCCCUCAGCUCUGGGAUAAGCCUGGGAAACCGGGUCUAAUACUGGAUAUGACUCCAUGACGCAUGUUGUGGGGUGGAAAGCCUUGUGCGGCUGAGGAUGGGCCCGCGGCCUAUCAGCUUGUUGGUGGGGUGAUGGCCUACCAAGGCGACGACGGGUAGCCGGCCUGAGAGGGCGACCGGCCACACUGGGACUGAGACACGGCCCAGACUCCUACGGGAGGCAGCAGUGGGGAAUCUUGCGCAAUGGGCGAAAGCCUGACGCAGCGACGCCGCGUGAGGGAUGACGGCCUCGG
Molecule: ribosomal RNA, 391 nt
Filed under: uncultured bacterium
Lineage: Bacteria
Description: bacterial SSU rRNA
Rfam family: Bacterial small subunit ribosomal RNA
Source: RNAcentral